RNAcentral lists this ribosomal RNA (253 nucleotides) under uncultured bacterium. RNAcentral describes it as "partial 16S ribosomal RNA". It matches the Rfam family "Bacterial small subunit ribosomal RNA", at positions 524 to 776 of the family's 1533-position model. The record is from RNAcentral.
UACGUAGGGGGCAAGCGUUGUCCGGAUUCAUUGGGCGUAAAGAGCGUGUAGGCGGCCAGGUAGGUCGGUUGUGAAAACUGGAGGCUCAACCUUCAGACGUCGACCGAAACCAUCUGGCUAGAGUCCGGGAGAGGAGAGUGGAAUUCCUGGUGUAGCGGUGAAAUGCGCAGAUAUCAGGAGGAACACCGGUGGCGAAGGCGGGUCUCUGGACAGUUCCUGACGCUGAGGCACGAAGGUCAGGGGAGCAAACGGG